GCUACAGUGCUACUGGCCCAUAAUCAGGCAACUGCAGAGUCUUAGGGGGUUAUCUAAUGUAGUCUUGGGGUGGCUGGAUAGACUUCCCAAAGAAGGUGAUGCCGAAGCUGAGGUCGGAAAUUACGAAGAUCAGCUAUGGCGUCUCAGGGUCUUGACCACCUCAAGCCAGGUGAGACACCUUACAGGAUGUCUCCUAAGCUGAUCAGUCUAUGAACAUUUAGUGACCUACAGAAUCUCCCUGUGACAUCUGUUCACUGGGCAACAGCAGCUCACAGGUACUGUUUGCAGGCAGCAGGUGCCAGCGACACCAGAGGCUUUCACCCCAAAACCAGUUCAUUUCAGGUCACACAUCUGUUCUUUCCUCUGAGAGACACCCACUGAGAAGGCUCUUCCGGCUUGGCAGUCCCAGGGGAAGGCCUGAGGAGAGAAGACACAUAGUCAUGCUGACUAAACCAGAUCACCUAGAAUUACCAAAUGGAAAGAUUGUGCCUGCAGCCUGGCCUGUUGCCCACAGCGGUCUACCUGCCACACUGGGAAAGAUCGAGCAGAGACAGAGAAGAAAAGGAGGCUCCAUUUUUCAGGCUGCUCUCCCGCAGGCUCAUGUUUUGUGUUCAUGCCAGGCAGAGAACACAAAAUGUUCCAAUAAAUAAGUAUCAAAGGUUAGUGGUGAAAAUGAAGGAGGAGGAGGCAUUGCGUGAAAAACUAAACAUGCAAAAUAUUACACACAAAGAGAACCAAAAUGCAGGUUCACUGGAAAUGAUAGACAAUAUGUUAAAACAAGAGGAGAGAAGAGAGCUGAAAUAAUCAAAUGGAAACACACAAUUUAGGGCUAAGAUCUUGUUGUGUUCAGCCACAAAUGAUGGCCAGCAGUGAGGAAUCUGUGUGUUCUCCACACUCUUCGCUCCUGGGAAGUCAACUCACAUGGACCAUGAUAUCAAUAUCUGCUCCUUCCCCUAAUAUCUGUUUGACCUUGGGUCAGUUACUUAAACUUCCUAAGCCUUAGUUUCUUUGUCUGGAAAAUAGGGAUAGUUAUACCUACCACACAACCACUUUGUAAUGAAUAUGUUGGAAAUUAUAUGCAAAUUGGCUUCCGUUGGUGUUUGGAACAUAGUAGGUUUUUAACUGGAAUAUAAUAGCUACCAUUAUCAGUAUCAUCAUAUUAAUUUAUAUUUCCAUCUUCAGCCCUUAACCCAGGAUCUUCAGUAAAUGUUGAAUUCUCAAAUUUGUUAAAUUCACUUGUCUAUACUAAUAUUUUACUCUAGGUUUCUUAGAAUAUUCUAGAUAAUAUUAUUAUGUAGAAUAUGUUAUGUAAGCUUCAUCUUAUCUGUAAAUAUAGUUUUACUUUUUCCUUUC
Molecule: long non-coding RNA, 1353 nt
Organism: Homo sapiens (human)
Lineage: Eukaryota; Metazoa; Chordata; Mammalia; Primates; Hominidae
Gene: CCDC26
Product: CCDC26 long non-coding RNA
Source: Ensembl